This 294-nucleotide long non-coding RNA is filed under the name Elaeis guineensis (African oil palm). RNAcentral's name for it is "long non-coding RNA (EGUI_LNC067948)". The record is from RNAcentral. Lineage: Eukaryota; Viridiplantae; Streptophyta; Magnoliopsida; Arecales; Arecaceae.
ACGUGCAUGCAAAGUAGAGAAUCUACACAUCCAGAUCUCCGUGAAGGUUAAUAUCAGAUAAUUUGAGAUUUGAUCCCUGAUUCCACUACAUUUCAAGUAAGAAUUUGAUCAUUAAAUAAGUAAAAUAUUAAAAAAAAUUUAGAUGCAACCUGGGCAUCUCAGAGGAAAACUAUUUCCCUUCCCUUCACCUUCUCCAAAAACAAGCAGCAGUCUGGAUUGGAGUAGUCAAAGAUAUUGCUAGCAGCUAGCACAGAGAAACAUGUGGAGAGAUGCAACGCAGUCUGGAUUGGAUAG